UCAACAAUAUAUUAAAAAAAAUUCAGUUUUAAAAUAUUAAAAUUAUGAAACUUAUGUUAUUGUAUAAUAUUAUGAGUUGUUAUUCUGGGAAUUCUAGUCAAAGGAGCCGCGUCGCGUGCCGCAUUGUACGCUUCAUUGACUCUGACGAACCUUAGCAUAAGCGUAGGAAUAAGGCAUAUAGGUGUAGGAAUAGUACAGAGACAAUGUGAGCAUACCUUUAACAUGGACAAUGUGGGAGAAUUUGCUGUACGCUCUUACUAGCAGUGCGACUAUUUGCCUGCAAUGUAGGGUGUCCUCAGCGCAUUCACAAAAAAAGGCUACGCAAAGAGUGGUGUAGCGAUUCAUGCGCAGGGAGCCGCGAACAGCGGCGUAGCGCAUCUACCGGGUGGACAUUAUAAUUCUUAACUAAUUCAGAUUAACGCAAUUCAGAGUCGAAACACAGUUUCGCCCAUCAGCCGAGUUCGCCUCUCAUUGAUCAGUGUUUUCCGUUAAUAAAUCGUAAACAAAGCAGCGGAUUGCAUUUGCGCUAAGGAAAAAGUUACUUUAAAUCAGGGGUCCUAACCGGCGCUUAACCCUAACCGUAACCCGGUUAACCAAGGCAGAUUAUAGUAACCCCCACAGUAAACCGCGGUAGAACGUCUCCCAAAUUGUCUAAAGAGCGGGUUAACUCGUAAAGAGCGGGUAACAUAAUGCAUUCUGUAACCUGGUUACUACAAGAAGGUUACAAGAACCGGUUAUUAGAUAAGUAAAUAUAGUAGCAUAUAACCGGUCUCCGCUCUGCGUAACCCGUAAGAGCGGCAGUUCUUGAAAUCGGUUGCAAUAUGGAACUAAACUAUACGAAAAGAAUUGUUGAAUCUACUAAUUUUUUUACUUUAACACGUUCAUCGCCCGGCGCAAUUCGGCUGAGUUUCUCGCGGGGCCCAAAUCCGACUGUUGGAGCGCCGAAACGUAAGCGGGAAUAGCGCAACGAUGAAACCCGAGUAGGCCCGUGCGUCACCCAUAUUUGGAUUGCAACUGUUUUAACGGGAGAUUUUCUUUCCUUUUGUUACUGUCGGCGGUCUUGUCUUGUUCAGUUGCAGAAGAAGUACGCUUUAUGUUCUUCAGUAGUCAGAUUAUGUUCUUCACUGAUACGUUUAAUAAUUUCAUUUUACAUAUCUGUUUUUGUUUCGUAAUAUAAUAUUAUCUAUAAUGAAACAUUCUGUUCGUCGAUGCGUUUAUGAGAUUAACGAAAGAAGGUGUAUCGCUAUUUGAAUUUGUACAAAAUAAUAGACUAUAUAAUAGUUUGUAAGCCGCUCUUACGGGUUACACAGAGCCGGCUUUUGUAACCUUCCUGUAGUAACCGGGUUAAGAAUUGGGUUUGGCGGCGGUUAGGAUCCCUGGCAUUAAUCCGCCAUAAGAGCGGGUUACUCGGGUUACUCUAUGAAACUGAGAGCAGAAUCGGCUGCUUUAAAUAGUCUCAGAAACUCCUCAUUUCUCGGAAAUAACAUAAUUAUGGGACACCCUGUACACAGCAAACAGUAAUGUUUAACAAUACUGUGAGUAGAGAAAAGUGAAUUUUGAUUGCAAAGCCGUCGUGUAAAUAUAAAAUCAAACCAAGAAAUAUGAUAGUAUGACAAUGCAAUUUGUGCAACAAAUCUUUAUAAUUUUAAUUACCUACGAAAUCUAUUAAACAUCUGAAUUUCUUCAACUUUUAAUUGGUAAUAAAUAAAUGACAAAAACAACAA
This is a non-coding RNA of Megalopta genalis, 1724 nucleotides long. The record is from RefSeq and is a predicted model, not a curated record. Lineage: Eukaryota; Metazoa; Arthropoda; Insecta; Hymenoptera; Halictidae.